GGAAACAGCUCAGUGGCAGAGCACAUGCUUAGCAUGCAGGAGGUCCUGGGUUCAAUCCCCAGUGCCUCCA
RNAcentral lists this transfer RNA (70 nucleotides) under Camelus bactrianus (Bactrian camel). It matches the Rfam family "tRNA". Rfam says of the family: Transfer RNA (tRNA) molecules are approximately 80 nucleotides in length. Their secondary structure includes four short double-helical elements and three loops (D, anti-codon, and T loops). RNAcentral also lists the same sequence under 2 other names. The record is from Rfam by way of RNAcentral. Lineage: Eukaryota; Metazoa; Chordata; Mammalia; Artiodactyla; Camelidae.